This 93-nucleotide non-coding RNA is filed under the name unclassified sequences. RNAcentral describes it as "skipping-rope RNA". It matches the Rfam family "skipping-rope RNA". From Rfam's summary of the family: Firmicutes, Fusobacteria, AlphaProteobacteria, Spirochaetes. Downstream gene The record is from Rfam by way of RNAcentral.
GGUCAUUGAAGGCAGAAAGGCUCCUGUCACACCUCUCCCGCUAGCCCAUAGAGAGGUACCUGAGAUGUUGGGUACGCCGUCCAACCAUUGACC